This 252-nucleotide ribosomal RNA is filed under the name uncultured bacterium. RNAcentral describes it as "partial 16S ribosomal RNA". It matches the Rfam family "Bacterial small subunit ribosomal RNA", at positions 524 to 776 of the family's 1533-position model. The record is from RNAcentral.
UACGUAGGGGGCGAGCGUUAUCCGGAUUCAUUGGGCGUAAAGCGCGCGUAGGCGGCCUGUUAGGUCGGGAGUCAAAUCCGGGGGCUCAACCCCCGCCCGCUCCCGAUACCGGCGGGCUUGAGUCUGGUAGGGGAAGGUGGAACUCCAAGUGUAGCGGUGGAAUGCGCAGAUAUUUGGAAGAACACCGGUGGCGAAGGCGGCCUUCUGGGCCACGACUGACGCUGAGGCGCGAAAGCUAGGGGAGCGAACAGG